CCUACGGGAGGCAGCAUUGAGGACUAUUGGUCAAUGGCCGCAGGUCUGAACCAGCCAAGUCGCGUGAGGGAUGACGGUCCUAUGGCUUGUAAACCUCUUUUGUCAGGGAGCAAAGGGCGCCACGUGUGUCGUUUUGCGCGUACCUUAAGAACAAGCAUCGGCUAACUCCGUUCCAGCAGCCGCGGUAAUACGGAGGAUGCGAGCGUUAUCCGGAUUUCUUGGGUUUAAAGGGUGCGUAGGCGGACUGUAAAGUCAGCGGUAAACUCGAGAGGCUCAACCUCUCUCCGCUGUUGAAACUGUCGGGCGUGAGAGGGCGAGAAGUAGGCGGAAUGCGUGGUGGAGCGGUGAAAUGCAGAGAGAGCACGAAGAACUCCGAUUGCGAAGGCAGCAUACCGGAGCGCGACUGACGCUGAGGCACGAAAGCGUGGGUAUCGAACAGGAUUAGAUACCCGAGUAGUC
This 459-nucleotide ribosomal RNA is filed under the name uncultured bacterium. RNAcentral describes it as "partial 16S ribosomal RNA". It matches the Rfam family "Bacterial small subunit ribosomal RNA", at positions 338 to 795 of the family's 1533-position model. The record is from RNAcentral.